This 66-nucleotide transfer RNA is filed under the name Rhithrodytes pantaleonii. Its description in RNAcentral is "tRNA-Asn". The record is from RNAcentral. Lineage: Eukaryota; Metazoa; Arthropoda; Insecta; Coleoptera; Dytiscidae.
UUAAUUGAAGCCAAAAAUGAGGCCUAUCACUGUUAAUGAUAUCAUUGAAUUUAAUUUCCAAUUAAA